ACAAGCGUGAGAAACGGCUAGUAGGAAUAAGGUCUGCAGCAGGCGCGAAACUUACACAAUGCUAGAUUACAAUUAGCGAUGUAGUGAAGAAAAAUAACGAUGUACUUCCAUUUAAACAUGGUAGUACAAUUGGAAUGAGUUGACUCUAAACCAGUCAGUCGAGUAACAAAUGGAGGGCAAGUCUGGUGCCAGCAGCCGCGGUAAUUCCAGCUCCAUUAGCAUACAUUAAAGUUGUUGCGGUUAAAAAGCUCGUAGUUGAAUUUUAGGCGGGCUCUAUUGGGAUGCAGUCGUUAUGGCUAUUGGGUACCUCACCGGUCCCAUAGUUGAUUGUAUUUUCCCUAUAGGAACCCGCUGUUUCGUCACUUAAUCGAGUGCGAAGCGGGCUGAAACAAAGAUCAUACUCCGGUAUAUCUUGUAUCAGCAUGUUUACCUUGAGAAAAUUAGAGUGCUCACAGCAGGCAGUUGGGGUCUUAAAGCCCCUUUGUGCUUGAAUAAUGUUGCAUGGAAUAAUAGAAUACGGCCUCGGUUCUAUUCUGUUGGUCUUAUAGAACAACAAAUAAGUUGAUUAAAGCGACCAAAAGUUCGUUUGCGGGUGUGAUCUUAAGGAUCUAAUUUGCUUGGGUGCACUGCGUUAUAUAGCGUGAUUAUGUUGCCUAGGGCUUUAAAUCUUAGCGCCAUGUCCACUAUGUCCAGUCCCUUUAGUAAUUAGUAAUUCUUAUGGUCAUCUAAAGCACCCCUUAUUGGACUAGCUUUCUAAUCAACUGAGGCAAUGGUUAAAAGAAAUAGUCGCGGCGGCAUCACUACUGCAUCGUGAGAG
This 817-nucleotide ribosomal RNA is filed under the name Eriophyes sp. NJAUAcariEriGX27.2. RNAcentral describes it as "partial 18S ribosomal RNA". It matches the Rfam family "Eukaryotic small subunit ribosomal RNA", at positions 389 to 910 of the family's 1831-position model. Lineage: Eukaryota; Metazoa; Arthropoda; Arachnida; Trombidiformes; Eriophyidae. The record is from RNAcentral.